Molecule: ribosomal RNA, 253 nt
Filed under: uncultured bacterium
Lineage: Bacteria
Description: partial 16S ribosomal RNA
Rfam family: Bacterial small subunit ribosomal RNA
Source: RNAcentral
UACGGAGGGUGCAAGCGUUAUCCGGAUUUACUGGGUUUAAAGGGUGUGUAGGCGGGCUUUUAAGUCAGUGGUGAAAUCUCCGGGCUCAACCUGGAAACUGCCAUUGAUACUAUUAGUCUUGAAUUUUGUUGAGGUAGGCGGAAUAAGUCAUGUAGCGGUGAAAUGCAUAGAUAUGACUUAGAACACCAAUUGCGAGGGCAGCUUGCUAAACAAAUAUUGACGCUGAGGCACGAAAGCGUGGGGAUCAAACAGG